Molecule: ribosomal RNA, 433 nt
Filed under: uncultured bacterium
Lineage: Bacteria
Description: partial 16S ribosomal RNA
Rfam family: Bacterial small subunit ribosomal RNA
Source: RNAcentral
AGCGAACGCUGGCGGCAGGCCUAACACAUGCAAGUCGAACGGAUCCUUCGGGAUUAGUGGCGGACGGGUGAGUAACACGUGGGAACGUGCCCUUUGGUUCGGAACAACUCAGGGAAACUUGAGCUAAUACCGGAUGUGCCCUUCGGGGGAAAGAUUUAUCGCCAUUGGAGCGGCCCGCGUCUGAUUAGCCAGUUGGUGAGGUAACGGCCCACCAAGGCGACGAUCAGUAGCUGGUCUGAGAGGAUGAUCAGCCACACUGGGACUGAGACACGGCCCAGACUCCUACGGGAGGCAGCAGUGGGGAAUCUUGCGCAAUGGGCGAAAGCCUGACGCAGCCAUGCCGCGUGAAUGAUGAAGGUCUUAGGAUUGUAAAAUUCUUUCAGCGGGGACGAUAAUGACGGUACCCGCAGAAGAAGCUCCGGCUAACUUCGUG